RNAcentral lists this unclassified non-coding RNA (329 nucleotides) under soil metagenome. RNAcentral's name for it is "partial contains 5.8S ribosomal RNA, internal transcribed spacer 2, and large subunit ribosomal RNA". The stretch from base 1 to 120 matches the Rfam family "5.8S ribosomal RNA", at positions 35 to 154 of the family's 154-position model. The record is from RNAcentral.
GAUGAAGAACGUAGCGAAAUGCGAUAAGUAAUGUGAAUUGCAGAAUUCAGUGAAUCAUCGAAUCUUUGAACGCACAUUGCGCCCCCUGGCAUUCCGGGGGGCAUGCCUGUUCGAGCGUCAUUACAACCCUCAAGCUCUGCUUGGUAUUGGGCUCUGCCGGUCCCGGCAGGCCUUAAAAUCAGUGGCGGCGCCACUCGGCUUCAAGCGUAGUAAUUCUUCUCGCUUUGGAGACCCGGGUGCGUGCUAGCCAGCAACCCCCAACUUUCUCAGGUUGACCUCGGAUCAGGUAGGGAUACCCGCUGAACUUAAGCAUAUCAAUAAGCGGAGGA